This 496-nucleotide ribosomal RNA is filed under the name uncultured bacterium. RNAcentral describes it as "partial 16S ribosomal RNA". It matches the Rfam family "Bacterial small subunit ribosomal RNA", at positions 28 to 506 of the family's 1533-position model. The record is from RNAcentral.
GACGAACGCUGGCGGCGUGCCUAAUACAUGCAAGUUGAGCGCUGAAGGUUGGUACUUGUACCAACUGGAUGAGCAGCGAACGGGUGAGUAACGCGUGGGGAAUCUGCCUUUGAGCGGGGGACAACAUUUGGAAACGAAUGCUAAUACCGCAUAAAAACUUUAAACACAAGUUUUAAGUUUGAAAGAUGCAAUUGCAUCACUCAAAGAUGAUCCCGCGUUGUAUUAGCUAGUUGGUGAGGUAAAGGCUCACCAAGGCGAUGAUACAUAGCCGACCUGAGAGGGUGAUCGGCCACACUGGGACUGAGACACGGCCCAAACUCCUACGGGAGGCAGCAGUAGGGAAUCUUCGGCAAUGGACGAAAGUCUGACCGAGCAACGCCGCGUGAGUGAAGAAGGUUUUCGGAUCGUAAAACUCUGUUGGUAGAGAAGAACGUUGGUGAGAGUGGAAAGCUCAUCAAGUGACGGUAACUACCCAGAAAGGGACGGCUAACUACGU